GACGAACGCUGGCGGCGUGCCUAAUACAUGCAAGUCGAACGCACAGUUUAUACCUUCGCUUGCUACACCAUAGACUGGGAGGUGCGAACGGGUGAGUAACGCGUAGGUAACCUGCCUGGUAGCGGGGGAUAACUAUUGGAAACGAUAGCUAAGACCGCAUAAUAUUGAUUAUUGCAUGAUAAUUGAUUGAACGAUGCUAUUGCAUCACUACCAGAUGGACCUGCGUUGUAUUAGCUAGUAGGGGAGGUAACGGCUCACCUAGGCGACGAUACAUAGCCGACCGGAGAGGGUGAUCGGCCACACUGGGACUGAGACACGGCCCAGACUCCUGCGGGAGGCAGCAGUAGGGAAUCUUCGGCAAUGGACGAAAGUCUGACCGAGCAACGCCGCGUGAGUGAAGAAGGUGUUCGGAUCGUAAAGCUCUGUUGUAAGAGAAGAACGGGUGUGAGAGUGGAAAGUUCACACUGUGACGGUACCUUACCAGAAAGGGACGGCUAACUACGUG
RNAcentral lists this ribosomal RNA (505 nucleotides) under uncultured bacterium. Its description in RNAcentral is "partial 16S ribosomal RNA". It matches the Rfam family "Bacterial small subunit ribosomal RNA", at positions 28 to 507 of the family's 1533-position model. The record is from RNAcentral.